UGGGGAAUAUUGCACAAUGGGCGAAAGCCUGAUGCAGCGACGCCGCGUGCGGGAUGAAGGCCUUCGGGUUGUAAACCGCUUUUAAUUGGAGCAAGCGAGAGUGAGUGUACCUUUUGAAUAAGCACCGGCUAACUACGUGCCAGCAGCCGCGGUAAUACGUAGGGUGCAAGCGUUAUCCGGAAUUAUUGGGCGUAAAGAGCUCGUAGGCGGUUUGUCACGCCUGGUGUGAAAGUCCAUCGCUUAACGGUGGA
This 251-nucleotide ribosomal RNA is filed under the name uncultured bacterium. RNAcentral's name for it is "partial 16S ribosomal RNA". It matches the Rfam family "Bacterial small subunit ribosomal RNA", at positions 355 to 619 of the family's 1533-position model. The record is from RNAcentral.